GUGCUCACUUCAGCAGAACAUAUACUAAAAAAUUGGAAUGACACAGAGAAGAUUAGCAUGGCCCCUGUGCAAGGAUGACAUGCAAAUUCAUAAAGUAUUCCAUUAAAAA
RNAcentral lists this small nuclear RNA (109 nucleotides) under Propithecus coquereli (Coquerel's sifaka). The record is from RNAcentral. Lineage: Eukaryota; Metazoa; Chordata; Mammalia; Primates; Indriidae.